RNAcentral lists this ribosomal RNA (534 nucleotides) under uncultured bacterium. RNAcentral describes it as "partial 16S ribosomal RNA". It matches the Rfam family "Bacterial small subunit ribosomal RNA", at positions 355 to 883 of the family's 1533-position model. The record is from RNAcentral.
UGGGGAAUUUUGGACAAUGGGCGAAAGCCUGAUCCAGCAAUGCCGCGUGUGUGAAGAAGGCCUUCGGGUUGUAAAGCACUUUUGUCCGGAAAGAAAUCCUUGGCUCUAAUACAGUCGGGGGAUGACGGUACCGGAAGAAUAAGCACCGGCUAACUACGUGCCAGCAGCCGCGGUAAUACGUAGGGUGCAAGCGUUAAUCGGAAUUACUGGGCGUAAAGCGUGCGCAGGCGGUUUGCUAAGACCGAUGUGAAAUCCCCGGGCUCAACCUGGGAACUGCAUUGGUGACUGGCAGGCUAGAGUAUGGCAGAGGGGGGUAGAAUUCCACGUGUAGCAGUGAAAUGCGUAGAGAUGUGGAGGAAUACCGAUGGCGAAGGCAGCCCCCUGGGCCAAUACUGACGCUCAUGCACGAAAGCGUGGGGAGCAAACAGGAUUAGAUACCCUGGUAGUCCACGCCCUAAACGAUGUCAACUAGUUGUGGGGAUUCAUUUCCUUAGUAACGUAGCUAACGCGUGAAGUUGACCGCCUGGGGAGUAC